Molecule: non-coding RNA, 75 nt
Organism: Haemonchus placei
Lineage: Eukaryota; Metazoa; Nematoda; Chromadorea; Rhabditida; Trichostrongylidae
Source: Rfam
GGCACAAACUUGAAGUAGAAUAGUUGGGUAUGGUCAGCAGAUCCUACUAAUCUACUCUACUUAAAGUUUGUCCCC